RNAcentral lists this ribosomal RNA (429 nucleotides) under Gemmatimonadota bacterium. Its description in RNAcentral is "Gemmatimonadetes bacterium partial 16S ribosomal RNA". It matches the Rfam family "Bacterial small subunit ribosomal RNA", at positions 355 to 776 of the family's 1533-position model. Lineage: Bacteria; Pseudomonadati; Gemmatimonadota. The record is from RNAcentral.
UAGGGAAUCUUCGGCAAUGGACGAAAGUCUGACCGAGCAACGCCGCGUGAGUGAAGAAGGUUUUCGGAUCGUAAAACUCUGUUGUUAGAGAAGAACAAGGACGUUAGUAACUGAACGUCCCCUGACGGUAUCUAACCAGAAAGCCACGGCUAACUACGUGCCAGCAGCCGCGGUAAUACGUAGGUGGCAAGCGUUGUCCGGAUUUAUUGGGCGUAAAGCGAGCGCAGGCGGUUGCUUAAGUCUGAUGUGAAAGCCCCCGGCUCAACCGGGGAGGGUAAUUGGAAACUGGGAGACUUGAGUGCAGAAGAGGAGAGUGGAAUUCAAUGUGGAGCGGUGAAAUGCGUAGAUAUAUGGAGGAACAGCAGUAGCGAAGGCGGCUCUCUGGUCUGUGACUGACGCUGAGGCUCGAAAGCGUGGGGAGCAAACAGG